This is a long non-coding RNA of Gossypium raimondii (Peruvian cotton), 2965 nucleotides long. RefSeq lists it as uncharacterized. The transcript has 2 exons. Lineage: Eukaryota; Viridiplantae; Streptophyta; Magnoliopsida; Malvales; Malvaceae. The record is from RefSeq and is a predicted model, not a curated record.
UUAUGUUUUCUUUUAUGUGUAUUGUUAACUUGCCUAGAUAUUCAUUUAUCCAAUAAUCUCUGUUUUCUUUUCCUCUUUCUUUUCAAAAUGUUUAAGCCCUUUUUUUUUCAUCUCUUAACCCUUUUUUGGGGGGAUUUGUUUAACUUUGAAGAUUGAAGAACCAUGAAAUAUAACAAGAGAAGAAAUUAAGAACCCUUUUUUCUCUUCUUUAUUAUUUAUUUAUUUUGGUUUUUUUUGGGGUUUCAAGGUAAGGUUGAGUUAUCAACUUUACUCAACUUUGAUAUUUGAAAAAAAAAAAUUUGACCCACAAAUUUAAGAACCAUGAAAUCUAACAAGAGAGAAAAGUAUGUGGUACUAGUAGUUGGGAAGUGUGUUCUUUAUUUUUAAUAUUUCACAGACUUUUUUCUUGUUUUUGAAAGGUAAAGUCAUUUUUUUCUACACAUAUUAACAUAUAAAAUCAUUUGUUUUACAGAUUUUUGCUUAUUUUCAUGCCCUUUUCUUUUGAUUGGUAAAGCUAUACAUAUUUUCUGUAUUUAGGAUUUCGAUCCAUUUGUGAAAUGCCAAGUUGCCGUAUGCUAAAAACAAAUUCAACCCUUUGUUCUCUCUUUUCAUUUUUUCUUUUUUUAAUUUCCUGGAAAUUUCACACUUAGUUUCAGAUUUAUCAGUCAUUUUUUGCUGAUGCAGCAUCUUCAAGAUUCACAUGCAAAGUAUAGUACGGCCAGGCCAUAGCUUUUGUUUGAAGCAUGAGAAUCUUGAUGAUGCUGCAUCGGCCAUUAAUGACUCCACAACUCAUCCAUAAUGGAAAAAUCUUUAUAGAUCUUUCAAUUUUCCACCGCUUUUUUGGCAACUAUAAAAGUACAUCACGAUGAUGAUGAUGACUUUUAAUUAUAUCAAAACACAUGGACUGUUUCAAUUUGAUGAAAUUAAGGUUAGAAGAAACUUAUAUAUGUAGUUUUAGAGAUUAUAAGUAUUAUUUCCCCCCCUCUCCGUACAACCCCAGUUUCUCUUUUUCUGUGUUUUAAUACUCUUGUUAGGGUUUUGAGAAUUUAGGGUUUCUUUUUAAUGCCCUUUAUCAGAAGCUUUUUUUUUUUUUUGCUUUUUGGUAUUAAUUUCUUGAAGUUCAUCCACAAACCUCAAAUGGGUUUCUUUUGAAAGGUACAAAUACUUAAUAGUUUUUUUUUUAAAUGAUCCUUGAAUCUCUUGUUUUUGCUAGUUUGAGAUCUAUUGUUGUGUUCUUAUUUUUGAAUUUUAGGAUAAAUUUCAUGGACCAAUAUUUCUCUUCAGUUCAGGCUUUUGUCAGCUUUCUUCUAAUCAUUUAAGGAAUCUGCAAUUUAAAAAAAAAACUUUUUUUUUCAACAUAUGCACAUUAAUUCCUUGAGGCAGAAAAAAAGACAUUAAUAAAAUAACAUUGUACUCCAUGUUCCUGAGUGGUUUGAGGAAGUAUAUAUAUGUAUAUAAUUGAGGCAAAUUCCCAGGCUGAAACGUCCCACAUGCAAAACAUAAGAAAAAACAAAUUAUACAUACAAGCAUUAGCUGUAAGUCAGCAAAAAAAAAUGGGAACCAAUAUGAUUCUAAAUUACAAAUCUGCAUUGCAUUAUCUUUCAAAAUAGCACAUGAUUAUACAUGGAGACAUCAUGGGGUAAAUGAUAUGAUGGACUUUGUUGUUUGGUACCUGAGAAAAUUAACUUCAAAUUUUCUUUUUCUUUUUUCUUGGAUAUCACGGGGUUAAAUGCUAUUGAAUCCAGAGCAAGACCCUGAGAAAGUAUAUAAUUUAAGAAACAUACUUUAGUUAUAAACUUGCCAUGAAGCUUUCGGGGAAUUAGCUUAUAGUGAAGUGAGAAAUGGUGAUAUGAAACCAUGUAUUUUGUGGAAGAAUUUUAAAAGCCAUAAUAAAAAGCAGUGGAGAAUGGAUGCCUGCUGGUCGAGUGUACGGUAAGGUUUAGAGUUUUAACAAUGUGGAUGAAAAAAAAAGUUAAAUCACUAUUUGAAUCCUCAAUUUUUUUUCAAUUUAAUCCUAAACUUAGUAAUUGUUUCCAUAUUGGGACUUAAACAAUUUUUGUCCAAGUUAGUAAUUCAAUUUGACAAUUGUUCCCACAUUGAGGAUUGAACUUUAGGUUUUUCAAGAAAAUAUUAAGGAUUAACUUGGUAAAAGAAAUUUAGACUUCAAUGUGAGAACAAUUGCCAAGUUCAGGACUAAUUUGAAAAAGAAAUUCAAGCCUCAAUGUGGGAAUAAUUGCCAAAUUUAAGGGCUAACUUAGACAAAAAAAGUUUAACAAGUUCAGGGGUUGGGGCCUAAACUUAUUGAGACUUGAACUUCUAGGUUUUUAAGGUAAUAUCAAUGACUAACUUGGAAAAAAAAAGUUCUAGCUUUAAUGUGAGAAUUGUCAAGUUCAUGGACUAACUUGAAAAAAAAGUUUAGAUCCGAUUCAAACACAAAAUAUUAAUUUAACCAAAAGAGUCUAAGAAAGCUUUAUCUUCUAUUAAAAAAUUUUGAUCCGAUUCUAUAUUGAAUUUAGUCAAAAACCGAAAGUAAUUAUGGGUAUCAACUAUAUACAUAUAAAAUUAUAUAUAUAAAGUGGUGGCAUUUAGUGACAAAAGCUAUUAUGUCAUUUUUGACAAUGGAAAGGAAAGUGUGAUUUGAAUCAUUCCUUCUUCAAACAGGUCCACUCAGUCUGAAGAAAAAAACAACUUCAAAGUGUACGAUGUUAUCCGAGCAAAUCAACCCUAGAUGCCCAUGUUUACAACAUAUAUAUAUUUCUUGUGUUAUGCUUUAUUUUAAUUAUAUUUUUCAUGUAAUAUUCCUUUUUUUUAAGGUUUUUCAUGUAAUAUUCAUAUCAACGUGUCUAGGUUUUGGAUGGUAAUGUUUGGGCUGAAAUGGAUUUCAUGAAAAAUAAUUCAUUUUAUACAUUAUCAUCACUAUAUAUAUACUGUUUCAUUGAAUUUAGUUAAUAAUUUUUUCUUUUUC